CUUGAACCUUAGUGGAGACACUUUGGGCUCUUCGGAGCGUAGGACACAGGUGCUGCAUGGCUGUCGUCAGCUCGUGUCGUGAGAUGUUGGGUUAAGUCCCGCAACGAGCGCAACCUCGCCUUUAGUUGCCAUCAUUUAGUGGGCACUCUAAAGGGACUGCCAGUGAUAAGCUGGAGGAAGGUGGGGAUGACGUCAAGUCCUCAUGGCCCUUACGGGCUGGGCUACACACGUGCUACAAUGGUGGUGACAGUGGGCAGCGAACACGCGAGUGUAAGCUAAUCUCCAAAAGCCAUCUCAGUUCGGAUUGCACUCUGCAACUCGAGUGCAUGAAGUUGGAAUCGCUAGUAAUCGCGGAUCAGAAUGCCGCGGUCGAAUACGUUCCCGGGCCUUGUACACACCGCCCGUCACACCAUGGGAGUUGGUUUUACCCGAAGGCGCUGUGCUAACCGCAAGGAGGCAGGCGACCACGGUAGGGUCAGCGACUGGGGUGAAGUCGUAACAAGGUAAGCGUAGUGCU
Molecule: ribosomal RNA, 517 nt
Filed under: uncultured bacterium
Lineage: Bacteria
Description: bacterial SSU rRNA
Rfam family: Bacterial small subunit ribosomal RNA
Source: RNAcentral